Vespula vulgaris is the source of this 3901-nucleotide long non-coding RNA. RefSeq lists it as uncharacterized. Lineage: Eukaryota; Metazoa; Arthropoda; Insecta; Hymenoptera; Vespidae. The record is from RefSeq and is a predicted model, not a curated record. The transcript is spliced from 6 exons.
UUGUCCCGAUAGCGCGAACGACCGGUCGAUCAUACUCUAAAUUUAGCACACGCGCUUCGAACGAAACGAUAGAAGAAGAGACGUCGAGCGUGUAACCACGCAACGCGCAGGACGGACGUCUCUUUCUCUCUUUCUCUCUUUGUGUCUCUCUCUUUUUCUUUGUCUCUCUCUCUCUCUCUUUGUUCUCUCUCUUUGUUCUCUCUCUGAUGUCUCUGUCUUUCUCACUCUUUCUUUCCUUCCUUCCUUACUUUCUCUCUCCUUCACACGUCCGCUCACACACGCUCACAUAUCUCCAGGAGGAAAAAAAUCACAUUUAAUUCACUAACGCACUGAAAUAUACUGAAGAAGAAGAAGAGUAGCAACUUGAAAUCAUCAGAUAGACGGCUCGAGCUUUUCUGAGUGAGCUCGCUCUCACUAGGUCCGUUCGUUCGCUUACUGUCUAAGGCGCUGUCAAUGUCAGCUGAUCGAAUCAACGCCGACCGAAUACGUUGGAUUCUCAACGAUUCUCUCAGUGAACAUAACUAUUUUAUUUCGUUGGAAGGUAUGUGUUUUCGUAAGUGUUAAGACAGUUCUUUGUAAAGAAGGAUUCUUGAGAUUCCAUUGACCACACGCAUUUCCUUUACCCACACACGACAUUCUCGUGAUUAUGUGAGCGAGAAAACACGAAUGGACAGGAAAGACUCUCGCGCCAUAACACCUUCGUCGCAGCAUGGAGUCUAAAGUAUAAAGGUGAUCUCACUCGUAAAUGCGUGGGUGAGAGCGACGGUAUCCGAGACUCACCGUAUUUGCACACCUGCGCAGCACAACGUUAUAUGUCGCGUAAUAAUGUCCGCAAGCAAUUAUCGCACGACGACCGCCCUCGAGAGACAAUGGAAAAGUUGCUUUGUUGUUCGUACCCAUGAAUAUCAGAGAACACACAUACGCACACAAUGGAUUAGUAAAUACUUUUUCGAUGAUAAGAAGAGAAAGAGAGAGAGAGAGAGAGAGAGAGAGAGAGAGAGAACAGCAGAAAGAAAAAAGAGAAAGAGCAAAGUCUGGCCUUGCUGCAUCGUCAUAACCAACUUGUACAUCGUCGAAGCAGCACGUGCACGCGUGAGAAGAGUCGGCCGAGUAGAGUGAUUCACUAUAACCGAAACUAGGUUGCUCUUCGAGAAAGACAAACAACAUUUCAAAAAUAGUUCCAGCCUGCCAGACGAUCAGCGGAAAUGCGGAAACGGAUUCUUAGAAGUUCAGCCGAGAAUGAAACCGAUCUAUUAUAACAAUUUGCUUUCGUUUCAUUGAACAAAGUCAAACUAAGAGGCUUGGUUUUACACUCAACGAAGUAAAGUAUGUUAUCAAAAGGAAGAAUAGGUCCUUCCUUAAAAAAGAAGAAAAAAAAAAAAAGGAAACAAGAACGCUAUUCGAAUAUUUACACGUAAUCCUUAGCAAUGUGUUUCUCGUUGUUGGACCAUAAACAUACGAAAGCUAAAACAUUUAACGUUUGAUACGAUACUCGAAACAUUUACACUGGAGUUUACGUCUCGCUUCGUAUCUCAAGUAAUCGGUGGAUUCACUUUCACGUGCCGUGAAAGGAGCGAAUCGAUGAUGCGAGUUUCCUUAUCGAUACCCGCUAUCAACGAGCAUGAGAAUGUAAGUAAGUGCCUAACGUAACUCCUAUCUUUUUCUCUUCUUUUUCUACUUUUUUUCUAUAUAUUUUUUUUCUGCUUUUUACCUUCUAAGAUUAUUUCUUUAGCGCAACGAAUGUGUAUAUUCCCCAAUCGUCCAAUUAAAUGUAUAAUAUAUAAUUUCGUUGAUUAAGAAAUAACGUGAAAUAUGUUAUAUGUAUGGUGCGAUAUAGAAACGAGUUUAUGAUUUUCAAGUGGUGAAAGGCUUGGAUUUAUGAAAGUGACUUUGGAAAAGCUAGAAACAAUCGUGUCACGAUCUCCUCGUAGUUUAUAGUUGGUCCCCUACUGCGUUAGACAAACGAAGAGUUCGAAAUAAACUAAGCCAACGAUCUAAGGUGGAGUCCUUUGAAUGCUAUCGGGCAAACGAAAAUAGGUAGGAGAUAGAAGUAGGCUUUUAAAAUUGACUUCAAUAUGACGAACGACCAACGGAAAGAUAAAUGAAAGGAAUCGAGGUCAAUCUAUCUAUCACGAAAAUGACAAAAUCGAUGGCGUUGAUUUCUGUUAUCAUUGUUUUCUAUUAAUCCUCUAUAACCCAAUUUUGUUUUGUGUUUAUACAAAGAUUAUAUAUACGUGUGUGUAUGAUAUGAAAAUUAUGGUACAUUACUCAUACUAAUAUUUAUAAUUAUACUAUUAAUAUAAAUGAUACUAGUAUAAGUAUCACUAGUAUAUUAUAUUAUUAUAAGUAUAUAAGCAUAUAUAAUAAUUAUACCAUUAUAAAAAAUAUUAUAACUAAAUACUAUAAUAUAACGUAAUUCUCUUAAAAUGAUACACAUAUGAUUAUACUAUGUAUGUAAAUCAAACUUACAAAAUGAAGAUAUAUAAACGUGUAAUUUCAAAGUUACAUGGUGUUAUAGAGGAUUAAAUCAAUUCGACGAAUAACGGUCGACUCCAAUCGUACUUUGGACGACGAAGAAAUAACGUAGGACUGGUCGAAGUCGUCACAGCCGUUACGAUUUAUCGCAUAAACUAUCAAUACUCAUCUCGGCACGCAGCGUGGGCAUCGUCGAUUACGCUAACUCGACGACAUCCUUGUAACGCAAAAUGUUUCCAACGCAACAUUGACAGAGAUACACGCCUUACUUCGUCUUUCUAAACUUUUUAAUACGUUUUUUCUAAACGAUCCAAAGAAGAAAAAUUCAUAAAAAUACGAUCUCUCGAGAUUAUUAAUCUUGAUAAACCAUUUUUUUCUACCAUAAAACGAAUCUCGAUUAAAAUUUAUUCUAUCAUCCAAAAUUAGUAUGAGAAAGAUGUAAUACGUCACCGACGACAUUCAUAACUCGUCUUCGAAUGUCAACGUUUUAUUUUUACUUCGAACUACGCAUAGAGAAAGAGAAAGAGAGAGAGAGAGAGAGAGAGAGAGAGAGAGAGAGCAGCAAGCAAUCGUUAUAAAUCUUCAACUCUAAAGCAACCUCUAAGACGUUUACGAUCUGUUAGAUAAUAUUAGAUCAACGGUGGUAUCCAUCUAACAAAACGAUUGUCAAUCAUCGAAGCUAAAUCGAUUUACCAAAAUUUUCCUCGCAACGAAUCUUUGAUAUUAUUAUUUUAUAUCCCGAUGAUAUACAAUCGUAUAUCUUUCUCUCUAUUUUUUUCUCUCUAAAGAAAAAUUUGAUUAAGGGACUCCAUCAUCUCUUUCGCUUUCUUCUUCUUGUCACGCUAUUCCCCUUACAUAGCAAUUAAUUCGUUAUUACCGCAUUGCCGGGUUGUAAGUCACGGAAAGUAAUUACAACGCUUGGUAAUUCCUGCACCGUUAAGUUACGCAGCUGGGAUAAUGGGACAUAGUUUUUUCCUUCAACACAAUUUCAGUACGAUCUAACUCAUUUUCAUCUUACCAUCGUGCUCGCUGUUAAUAUCUUAUUAUUAAUUCUUUGAGAAAAAAUAAUAAUAGAAAAAGAAAAAAGUAAUUAUCCUCUUAUCGAUAAUACGAAAUCGAAUUGAUUAGUGUUAAUGAAAAAAUGAUCGAUGAGAUCGAUACGGACGAUUCAAAUUUCAAGGAAACUCGUUGCUGAUACGAGUUUAAUCGAGAGAAACUAGAUACUCUUUAGCCAGCAUGCAUUAGCAGCUGUUUUCUCAGUGAUCGGUACCUAAGUAGCAGGGAAAUACACGGUUCGAUCGAUUCUAUGGAUCGUUGCCAAAACAAAUAAAGCCAAAUAGAUGUUUUCGUUCGAUGGAUGAAGAUGAUGAUGUUGGGAAGACUUACCUCCAAAUGUGUGGGGAAAAUCCAGGACACACGUCUCCAC